This 124-nucleotide small RNA is filed under the name Marmota monax (woodchuck). The record is from RNAcentral. Lineage: Eukaryota; Metazoa; Chordata; Mammalia; Rodentia; Sciuridae.
GCCGGGCUUGGUGGUGCACGCCUGUAAUCCUGAGGCUUAGGAGGCUGAGGCAAGAGUCUUGAGAGUUCAAAGCCAGCCUCAGCAAAAGCAAUGCCCUAAGCAACUCAGUGAGACCCUGUCUCUA